Molecule: non-coding RNA, 194 nt
Organism: Theobroma cacao (cacao)
Lineage: Eukaryota; Viridiplantae; Streptophyta; Magnoliopsida; Malvales; Malvaceae
Source: RefSeq, a predicted model, not a curated record
CAGUGCAAGAGGCUAAUAAUAUCUUCGUACCUAGUAAAAAGCGUGCCAAGAGGAAGUCGAAAGAAGAAAUGGAAAAAGAAGUUGCUUUCUGGGAACAACAAAAACGUGACCUUUUAGAAUCGAUAAAGAAAGUAAAGGAUUACUUGGAAAAGAGAAAAGCUCUCAAUUUGCAGCUGAAGGCCCUCAAACUACAG